Molecule: ribosomal RNA, 452 nt
Filed under: uncultured bacterium
Lineage: Bacteria
Description: bacterial SSU rRNA
Rfam family: Bacterial small subunit ribosomal RNA
Source: RNAcentral
AUUGAACGCUGGCGGCAGGCCUAACACAUGCAAGUCGAACGGGCCCUUCGGGGCUAGUGGCGGACGGGUGAGUAACGCGUGGGAACAUACCCUUUGGUACGGAAUAGCCUCGGGAAACUGAGAGUAAUACCGUAUGUGCUCGAAAGAGGAAAGAUUUAUCGCCAAAGGAUUGGCCCGCGUUGGAUUAGGUAGUUGGUGGGGUAAUGGCCUACCAAGCCGACGAUCCAUAGCUGGUUUGAGAGGAUGAUCAGCCACACUGGGACUGAGACACGGCCCAGACUCCUACGGGAGGCAGCAGUGGGGAAUCUUAGACAAUGGGGGCAACCCUGAUCUAGCCAUGCCGCGUGAGUGAUGAAGGCCUUAGGGUUGUAAAGCUCUUUCAGUGGGGAAGAUAAUGACGGUACCCACAGAAGAAGCCCCCGGCUAAACUCCGUGCCAGCAGCCGCGGUAAU